This 429-nucleotide ribosomal RNA is filed under the name Bacteroidota bacterium. RNAcentral describes it as "Bacteroidetes bacterium partial 16S ribosomal RNA". It matches the Rfam family "Bacterial small subunit ribosomal RNA", at positions 355 to 776 of the family's 1533-position model. The record is from RNAcentral. Lineage: Bacteria; Pseudomonadati; Bacteroidota.
UAGGGAAUCUUCGGCAAUGGGGGGAACCCUGACCGAGCAACGCCGCGUGAGUGAAGAAGGUUUUCGGAUCGUAAAGCUCUGUUGUUAAGGAAGAACGAGUGUGAGAAUGGAAAGUUCAUACUGUGACGGUACUUAACCAGAAAGGGACGGCUAACUACGUGCCAGCAGCCGCGGUAAUACGUAGGUCCCGAGCGUUGUCCGGAUUUAUUGGGCGUAAAGCGAGCGCAGGCGGUUAGAUAAGUCUGAAGUUAAAGGCAGUGGCUCAACCAUUGUAGGCUUUGGAAACUGUUUAACUUGAGUGCAGAAGGGGAGAGUGGAAUUCCAUGUGUAGCGGUGAAAUGCGUAGAUAUAUGGAGGAACACCAGUGGCGAAGGCGACUUUCUGGUCUGUAACUGACGCUGAUGUGCGAAAGCGUGGGAAUCAAACAGG